Molecule: ribosomal RNA, 484 nt
Filed under: uncultured bacterium
Lineage: Bacteria
Description: partial 16S ribosomal RNA
Rfam family: Bacterial small subunit ribosomal RNA
Source: RNAcentral
AUUGAACGCUGGCGGCAGGCCUAACACAUGCAAGUCGAGCGGAUGAAGGGAGCUUGCUCCUGGAUUCAGCGGCGGACGGGUGAGUAAUGCCUAGGAAUCUGCCUGGUAGUGGGGGAUAACGUCCGGAAACGGGCGCUAAUACCGCAUACGUCCUGAGGGAGAAAGUGGGGGAUCUUCGGACCUCACGCUAUCAGAUGAGCCUAGGUCGGAUUAGCUAGUUGGUGGGGUAAGGGCCUACCAAGGCGACGAUCCGUAACUGGUUUGAGAGGAUGAUCAGUCACACUGGAACUGAGACACGGUCCAGACUCCUACGGGAGGCAGCAGUGGGGAAUAUUGGACAAUGGGCGAAAGCCUGAUCCAGCCAUGCCGCGUGUGUGAAGAAGGUCUUCGGAUUGUAAAGCACUUUAAGUUGGGAGGAAGGGCAGUAAGUUAAUACCUUGCUGUUUUGACGUUACCAACAGAAUAAGCACCGGCUAACUUCGUG